This 497-nucleotide ribosomal RNA is filed under the name uncultured bacterium. RNAcentral describes it as "partial 16S ribosomal RNA". It matches the Rfam family "Bacterial small subunit ribosomal RNA", at positions 28 to 507 of the family's 1533-position model. The record is from RNAcentral.
GAUGAACGCUGGCGGCGUGCCUAAUACAUGCCAGUCGAGCGAACAGACGAGGAGCUUGCUCCUCUGACGUUAGCGGCGGACGGGUGAGUAACACGUGGAUAACCUACCUAUAAGACUGGGAUAACUUCGGGAAACCGGAGCUAAUACCGGAUAAUAUAUUGAACCGCAUGGUUCAAUAGUGAAAGACGGUUUUGCUGUCACUUAUAGAUGGAUCCGCGCCGCAUUAGCUAGUUGGUAAGGUAACGGCUUACCAAGGCAACGAUGCGUAGCCGACUUGAGAGGGUGAUCGGCCACACUGGAACUGAGACACGGUCCAGACUCCUACGGGAGGCAGCAGUAGGGAAUCUUCCGCAAUGGGCGAAAGCCUGACGGAGCAACGCCGCGUGAGUGAUGAAGGUCUUCGGAUCGUAAAACUCUGUUAUUAGGGAAGAACAAAUGUGUAAGUAACUAUGCACGUCUUGACGGUACCUAAUCAGAAAGCCACGGCUAACUACGUG